This 1946-nucleotide ribosomal RNA is filed under the name Clostridioides difficile. RNAcentral describes it as "bacterial LSU rRNA". It matches the Rfam family "Bacterial large subunit ribosomal RNA", at positions 3 to 1986 of the family's 2925-position model. The record is from RNAcentral. Lineage: Bacteria; Bacillati; Bacillota; Clostridia; Peptostreptococcales; Peptostreptococcaceae.
UCAAGUUAUUAAGGGUGCAGGGCGGAUGCCUUGGCACUAGGAGCCGAUGAAGGACGUGAUAAGCUGCGAUAAGCUUCGGGGAGUUGCACGUAAACUUUGAUCCGAAGAUUUCCGAAUGAGGAAACUCACUUAGAGUAAUGUCUAAGUAUCAUUAAGUGAAUACAUAGCUUAAUGAGGGGAACUCAGGGAACUGAAACAUCUAAGUACCUGAAGGAAGAGAAAGAAAUUCGAUCCGUAAGUAGCGGCGAGCGAACGCGGAUUAGCCCAAACCAAUAAAGUUUUCUUUAUUGGGGUUGCGGACAUAUCAUAACGAAGAGGUAUCGUAAUUGAAGAGGUUUGGAAAGACCCACCACAGAAGGUAAUAGUCCUGUAUGUUAAACGAGAAGACUUUAGAUAUGAUCCAGAGUACCACGGGACACGUGAAACCCUGUGGGAAGCAGGAGGGACCACCCUCCAAGGCUAAAUACUACCUAGUGACCGAUAGCGUAUAGUACCGUGAGGGAAAGGUGAAAAGAACCCCGGGAGGGAGUGAAAUAGAACCUGAAACCCUGCACUUACAAGCUGUGGAAGCACAUUUCUUGUGUGACCGCGUACUUUUUGUAGAACGGGCCAACGAGUUACGUUAAGUAGCAAGGUUAAGCACUUAAGGUGCGGAGCCGUAGCGAAGCGAGUUUUUAACUGAGCGUUCACUUGACGUAGACCGAAACCGGGCGACCUACCCAUGAGCAGGAUGAAGCGAAAGUAAAAUUUCGUGGAGGUCCGAACCCACGAGCGUUGAAAAGCUCGGGGAUGACUUGUGGGUAGCGGUGAAAUUCAAUCGAGCCCGGAGAUAGCUGGUUCUCCCGAAAUAGCUUUAGGGCUAGCUCAAGGUGAGAGAUACGGAGGUAGCACUGAAUGUCCUAGGGGUAUUGCACCUACCGAAGACUAUCAAACUCCGAAUGCCGUCAUCUUAUACUUGGGAGUCAGACUGUGGGUGAUAAGAUUCAUAGUCGAAAGGCAACAGCCCAGAUCGUCAGCUAAGGUCCCUAAAUGUAAGUUAAGUGGUAAAGGAUGUGGGAUUGCACAGACAACCAGGAUGUUGGCUUAGAAGCAGCCACUCAUUCAAAGAGUGCGUAAUAGCUCACUGGUCGAGUGAUCCUGCGCCGAAGAUUUCCGGGGCUAAAACUUACUACCGAAGCUACGGCAUCAGUAAUGAUGGGUAGGGGAGCUUCCCAUACGGGUUGAAGCAUGACCGUAAGGACAUGUGGACAGUAUGGGAGUGAGAAUGUUGGCAUGAGUAGCGAGAUGUGGUGAGAAUCCCACAGGCCGUAAACCCAAGGUUUCCAGGGGAAGGUUCGUCCGCCCUGGGUUAGUCGGGACCUAAGCUGAGGCCGAAAGGCGUAGGUGAUGGACAACAGGUUGAUAUUCCUGUACUACCGAUAACCGUUUGAGAGAAGGGAUGACACAGUAGGAUAAGCUAAGCACACUGUUGGUUAUGGUGUGCCCAAGCAUUGAGGCAGUCAAAGUAGGCAAAUCCGCUUUGAUAAUGCUGGGAUGUGAUGGGGAGCGAAAUUUAGUAGCGAAGUAGCUGAUUUCACACUGUCAAGAAAAGUCUCUAUCGAGGUUAAAGGUACCCGUACCGCAAACCGACACAGGUGGGUGAGGAGAGUAUCCUAAGGCCAGCGAGAGAACUGUUGUUAAGGAACUCGGCAAAAUGACCCCGUAACUUAGGGAUAAGGGGUGCCACCAUCAGGUGGCCGCAGAGAAUAGGCCCAAGCGACUGUUUACCAAAAACAUAGGUUUCUGCUAAGUCGCAAGACGAUGUAUAGGAGCUGACGCCUGCCCGGUGCUGGAAGGUUAAGGGGAUCUGUUAGAGCAAUCGAAGCAGUGAACUUAAGCCCCAGUAAACGGCGGCCGUAACUAUAACGGUCCUAAGGUAGCGAAAUUCCUUGUCGGGUAAGUUCCGA